UACGUAGGGGGCAAGCGUUGUCCGGAAUUAUUGGGCGUAAAGAGCGUGUAGGCGGCCGCACAGGUCCGUUGUGAAAACUGGAGGCUUAACCUUCAGACGUCGAUGGAAACCGUGCGGCUAGAGUCCGGAAGAGGAGAGUGGAAUUCCUGGUGUAGCGGUGAAAUGCGCAGAUAUCAGGAAGAACACCCGUGGCGAAGGCGGCUCUCUGGGACGGUACUGACGCUGAGACGCGAAAGCGUGGGGAGCGAACAGG
This 253-nucleotide ribosomal RNA is filed under the name uncultured bacterium. RNAcentral's name for it is "partial 16S ribosomal RNA". It matches the Rfam family "Bacterial small subunit ribosomal RNA", at positions 524 to 776 of the family's 1533-position model. The record is from RNAcentral.